GGGACACGUGGUAUCCUGUCUGAAUAUGGGGGGACCAUCCUCCAAGGCUAAAUACUCCUGACUGACCGAUAGUGAACCAGUACCGUGAGGGAAAGGCGAAAAGAACCCCGGCGAGGGGAGUGAAAAAGAACCUGAAACCGUGUACGUACAAGCAGUGGGAGCCUCUUUUAUGGGGUGACUGCGUACCUUUUGUAUAAUGGGUCAGCGACUUAUAUUCUGUAGCAAGGUUAACCGAAUAGGGGAGCCGAAGGGAAACCGAGUCUUAACUGGGCGUUAAGUUGCAGGGUAUAGACCCGAAACCCGGUGAUCUAGCCAUGGGCAGGUUGAAGGUUGGGUAACACUAACUGGAGGACCGAACCGACUAAUGUUGAAAAAUUAGCGGAUGACUUGUGGCUGGGGGUGAAAGGCCAAUCAAACCGGGAGAUAGCUGGUUCUCCCCGAAAGCUAUUUAGGUAGCGCCUCGUGAAUUCAUCUCCGGGGGUAGAGCACUGUUUCGGCAAGGGGGUCAUCCCGACUUACCAACCCGAUGCAAACUGCGAAUACCGGAGAAUGUUAUCACGGGAGACACACGGCGGGUGCUAACGUCCGUCGUGAAGAGGGAAACAACCCAGACCGCCAGCUAAGGUCCCAAAGUCAUGGUUAAGUGGGAAACGAUGUGGGAAGGCCCAGACAGCCAGGAUGUUGGCUUAGAAGCAGCCAUCAUUUAAAGAAAGCGUAAUAGCUCACUGGUCGAGUCGGCCUGCGCGGAAGAUGUAACGGGGCUAAACCAUGCACCGAAGCUGCGGCAGCGACACUAUGUGUUGUUGGGUAGGGGAGCGUUCUGUAAGCCUGUGAAGGUGUGCUGUGAGGCAUGCUGGAGGUAUCAGAAGUGCGAAUGCUGACAUAAGUAACGAUAAAGCGGGUGAAAAGCCCGCUCGCCGGAAGACCAAGGGUUCCUGUCCAACGUUAAUCGGGGCAGGGUGAGUCGACCCCUAAGGCGAGGCCGAAAGGCGUAGUCGAUGGGAAACAGGUUAAUAUUCCUGUACUUGGUGUUACUGCGAAGGGGGGACGGAGAAGGCUAUGUUGGCCGGGCGACGGUUGUCCCGGUUUAAGCGUGUAGGCUGG
Molecule: ribosomal RNA, 1104 nt
Filed under: Escherichia coli
Lineage: Bacteria; Pseudomonadati; Pseudomonadota; Gammaproteobacteria; Enterobacterales; Enterobacteriaceae
Description: partial 23S ribosomal RNA
Rfam family: Bacterial large subunit ribosomal RNA
Source: RNAcentral